This 253-nucleotide ribosomal RNA is filed under the name uncultured bacterium. RNAcentral describes it as "partial 16S ribosomal RNA". It matches the Rfam family "Bacterial small subunit ribosomal RNA", at positions 524 to 776 of the family's 1533-position model. The record is from RNAcentral.
UACAGAGGUGGCAAGCGUUGUUCGGAAUUACUGGGCGUAAAGGGCGCGUAGGCGGCCUUCUAAGUCAGACGUGAAAUCCCCCGGCUUAACCUGGGAACUGCGUCUGAUACUGGGAGGCUAGAGUAUGGGAGAGGGAUGUAGAAUUCCAGGUGUAGCGGUGAAAUGCGUAGAUAUCUGGAGGAACACCGGUGGCGAAGGCGGCAUCCUGGACCAAUACUGACACUGAGGAGCGAAAGCCAGGGGAGCAAACGGG